RNAcentral lists this ribosomal RNA (254 nucleotides) under uncultured bacterium. RNAcentral's name for it is "partial 16S ribosomal RNA". It matches the Rfam family "Bacterial small subunit ribosomal RNA", at positions 524 to 776 of the family's 1533-position model. The record is from RNAcentral.
UACAUGUGGGGCAAGCGUUGUUCGGAAUUACUGGGCAUAAAGGGUGCGUAGGCGGCUUGCCAAGUCGCAGGUGAAAGUUUUCGGCCCAACCGGAAAAGUGCCUGCGAUACUGGCGAGCUUUGAGUGCGCGAGGGGUUGGGGGAACGAGCAGUGUAGCGGUGAAAUGCGUAGAUAUUGCUCGGAAGGCCGGAGCCGAAGGGGCCCAACUGGUACGCAACUGACGCUGAGGCACGAAAGCGUGGGGAGCAAACAGG